RNAcentral lists this ribosomal RNA (468 nucleotides) under uncultured bacterium. RNAcentral describes it as "partial 16S ribosomal RNA". It matches the Rfam family "Bacterial small subunit ribosomal RNA", at positions 28 to 507 of the family's 1533-position model. The record is from RNAcentral.
GACGAACGCUGGCGGCGUGCUUAACACAUGCAAGUCGAACGGAAAGGCCCUGCUUUUGUGGGGUGCUCGAGUGGCGAACGGGUGAGUAACACGUGAGUAACCUGCCCUUGACUUUGGGAUAACUUCAGGAAACUGGGGCUAAUACCGGAUAGGAGCUCCUGCUGCAUGGUGGGGGUUGGAAAGUUUCGGCGGUUGGGGAUGGACUCGCGGCUUAUCAGCUUGUUGGUGGGGUAGUGGCUUACCAAGGCUUUGACGGGUAGCCGGCCUGAGAGGGUGACCGGCCACAUUGGGACUAAGGUACGGACCAGACUCCUACGGGAGGCAGCAGUGGAGAAUAUUGCACAAUGGGUGGAAGCCUGAUGCAGCAGCGCCGCGUGCGGGAUGACGGCCUUCGGGUUGUAAACCGCUUUCGCCUGUGACGAAGCGUGAGUGACGGUACUGGGUAAAGAAGCACCGGCUAACUACGUG